AGAGUAUUAAGAUACUUUGUGUUGUCCUU
Molecule: non-coding RNA, 29 nt
Filed under: Rattus norvegicus (Norway rat)
Lineage: Eukaryota; Metazoa; Chordata; Mammalia; Rodentia; Muridae
Source: RNAcentral